UCCGUCCUAUCGACGGCAGUCUCCCUAGAGUGCUCAACAUAACUUGGUAGCAACUAGGGACAAGGGUUGCGCUCGUUGCGGGACUUAACCCAACAUCUCACGACACGAGCUGACGACAGCCAUGCAGCACCUGUGCACUGGCCCCGAAGGGAGGGUGCCUUUCAGCACCUGUCCAGUGCAUGUCAAGCCUAGGUAAGGUUCUUCGCGUUGCAUCGAAUUAAACCACAUGCUCCACCGCUUGUGCGGGCCCCCGUCAAUUCCUUUGAGUUUCAACCUUGCGGUCGUACUCCCCAGGCGGGGCACUUAAUGCGUUAGCUGCGGCACGGGAGGGGUCGAUGCCUCCCACACCUAGUGCCCACCGUUUACAGCCGGGACUAC
This 378-nucleotide unclassified non-coding RNA is filed under the name uncultured Latescibacterota bacterium. RNAcentral's name for it is "uncultured Latescibacteria bacterium contains 16S-23S intergenic spacer region". The record is from RNAcentral. Lineage: Bacteria; Pseudomonadati; Candidatus Latescibacterota.